RNAcentral lists this ribosomal RNA (481 nucleotides) under uncultured bacterium. Its description in RNAcentral is "bacterial SSU rRNA". It matches the Rfam family "Bacterial small subunit ribosomal RNA", at positions 30 to 507 of the family's 1533-position model. The record is from RNAcentral.
AUUGAACGCUGGCGGCAUGCCUUACACAUGCAAGUCGAACGGUAACGGGCCUUCGGGUGCCGACGAGUGGCGAACGGGUGAGUAAUGCAUCGGAACGUACCUUUCAGUGGGGGAUAACGCAGCGAAAGCUGUGCUAAUACCGCAUACGCCCUGAGGGGGAAAGCGGGGGAUCGAAAGACCUCGCGCGAUUAGAGCGGCCGAUGCCUGAUUAGCUUGUUGGUGGGGUAAAAGCCCACCAAGGCGACGAUCAGUAGCUGGUCUGAGAGGACGAUCAGCCACACUGGGACUGAGACACGGCCCAGACUCCUACGGGAGGCAGCAGUGGGGAAUUUUGGACAAUGGGGGAAACCCUGAUCCAGCAAUGCCGCGUGAGUGAAGAAGGCCUUCGGGUUGUAAAGCUCUUUUGUCAGGGAAGAAACACCGGCUCUAACACAGUCCGGGAAUGACGGUACCUGAAGAAUAAGCACCGGCUAACUACGUG